RNAcentral lists this long non-coding RNA (387 nucleotides) under Mytilus galloprovincialis (Mediterranean mussel). Lineage: Eukaryota; Metazoa; Mollusca; Bivalvia; Mytilida; Mytilidae. The record is from RNAcentral.
GGUACAAUAUAAAAAAGAAGAUGUGGUAUGAUUGCCAAUGAGACAACUAUCCACAAAAGACCAAAAUGACACAGACAUUAACAACUAUAGGUCACCGUACGGCCUUCAACAAUGAGCAAAGCCCAUACCGCAUAGUCAGCUAUAAAAGGCCCCGAUAAGACAAUGUAAAACAAUUCAAACGAGAAAACUAACGGCAUUAUUUAUGUAAAAAAAUGAACAAAAAACAAAUGUGUAACACAUAAACAAACGACAACCACUGAAUAUACAGGUUCCUGACUUGGGACAGGCACAUACAUAAAUAAUGUGGCGGGGUUAAACAUGUUAGCGGGAUCCCAACCCUCCCCCUAACCAGGGACAGUGGUAUAACAGUACAACAUAAGAACGAAC